This 407-nucleotide ribosomal RNA is filed under the name uncultured bacterium. Its description in RNAcentral is "bacterial SSU rRNA". It matches the Rfam family "Bacterial small subunit ribosomal RNA", at positions 355 to 777 of the family's 1533-position model. The record is from RNAcentral.
UGGGGGAUAUUGCACAAUGGAGGAAACUCUGAUGCAGCAACGCCGCGUGAGGGAAGAAGGUCUUCGGAUUGUAAACCUUUGUUUUUGGUGACGAACAAAUGACGGUAGCCAAAGAGGAAGCCACGGCUAACUACGUGCCAGCAGCCGCGGUAAUACGUAGGUGGCAAGCGUUGUCCGGAUUUACUGGGUGUAAAGGGAGCGCAGGCGGGACAGCAAGUUGGAUGUGAAAUACCGGAGCUUAACUCCGGAGCUGCAUCCAAAACUGUUGUUCUUGAGUGAAGUAGAGGUUGGCGGAAUUCCGAGUGUAGCGGUGAAAUGCGUAGAUAUUCGGAGGAACACCAGUGGCGAAGGCGGCCAACUGGGCUUUAACUGACGCUGAGGCUCGAAAGCAUGGGGAGCAAACAGGA